CCUACGUGAGGCUGCAGUGAGGAAUAUUGGUCAAUGGGCGCGAGCCUGAACCAGCCAAGUAGCGUGAAGGAUGACUGCCCUACGGGUUGUAAACUUCUUUUAUAAAGGAAUAAAGUGAGGCACGUGUGCCUUUUUGUAUGUACUUUAUGAAUAAGGAUCGGCUAACUCCGUGCCAGCAGCCGCGGUAAUACGGAGGAUCCGAGCGUCAUCCGGAUUUAUUGGGUUUAAAGGGAGCGUAGAUGGGUGUUUAAGUCAGUUGUGAAAGUUUGCGGAUCAACCGUAAAAUUGCAAUUGAUACUGGCAGUCUUGAGUACAGUUGAGGUAGGCGGAAUUCGUGGUGUAGCGGUGAAAUGCUUAGAUAUCACGAAGAACUCCGAUUGCGAAGGCAGCUUACUAAACUGCCACUGACAUUGAUGCUCGAAAGUGUGGGUAUCAAACAGGAUUAGAUACCCUAGUAGUC
Molecule: ribosomal RNA, 460 nt
Filed under: uncultured bacterium
Lineage: Bacteria
Description: partial 16S ribosomal RNA
Rfam family: Bacterial small subunit ribosomal RNA
Source: RNAcentral